CCUACGGGAGGCAGCAGUGGGGAAUAUUGGACAAUGGGGGCAACCCUGAUCCAGCCAUGCCGCGUGUGUGAAGAAGGCCCUCGGGUUGUAAAGCACUUUCAGCGAGGAAGAACGCCUAGCGGUUAAUACCCGCUAGGAAAGACAUCACUCGCAGAAGAAGCACCGGCUAACUCCGUGCCAGCAGCCGCGGUAAUACGGAGGGUGCAAGCGUUAAUCGGAAUUACUGGGCGUAAAGCGCGCGUAGGUGGCUUGAUAAGCCGGUUGUGAAAGCCCCGGGCUCAACCUGGGAACGGCAUCCGGAACUGUCAAGCUAGAGUGCAGGAGAGGAAGGUAGAAUUCCCGGUGUAGCGGUGAAAUGCGUAGAGAUCGGGAGGAAUACCAGUGGCGAAGGCAGCCUUCUGGACUGACACUGACACUGAGGUGCAAAAGCGUGGGUAGCAAACAGGAUUAGAUACCCUGGUAGUCCACGCCGUAAACGAUGUCGACCAGCCGUUGGGUGCCUAGCGCACUUUGUGGCGAAGUUAACGCGAUAAGUCGACCGCCUGGGGAGUACGGCCGCAAGGUUAAAACUCAAAUGAAUUGACGGA
Molecule: ribosomal RNA, 587 nt
Filed under: uncultured bacterium
Lineage: Bacteria
Description: bacterial SSU rRNA
Rfam family: Bacterial small subunit ribosomal RNA
Source: RNAcentral